GACGAACGCUGGCGGCGUGCCUAAUACAUGCAAGUAGAACGCACAGUUUAUACCGUAGCUUGCUACACCAUAGACUGUGAGUUGCGAACGGGUGAGUAACGCGUAGGUAACCUGCCUGGUAGCGGGGGAUAACUAUUGGAAACGAUAGCUAAUACCGCAUAAUAUUAAUUAUUGCAAGAUAAUUAAUUGAAAGGUGCAAUUGCACCACUACCAGAUGGACCUGCGUUGUAUUAGCUAGUAGGUGAGGUAACGGCUCACCUAGGCGACGAUACAUAGCCGACCUGAGAGGGUGAUCGGCCACACUGGGACUGAGACACGGCCCAGACUCCUACGGGAGGCAGCAGUAGGGAAUCUUCGGCAAGGGACGAAAGUCUGACCGAGCAACGCCGCGGGAGUGAAGAAGGUUUUCGGAUCGUAAAGCUCUGUUGUAGGAGAAGAACGGGUGUGAGAGUGGAAAGUUCACACUGUGACGGUAUCUUACCAGAAAGGGACGGCUAACUACGUG
This 505-nucleotide ribosomal RNA is filed under the name uncultured bacterium. RNAcentral's name for it is "partial 16S ribosomal RNA". It matches the Rfam family "Bacterial small subunit ribosomal RNA", at positions 28 to 507 of the family's 1533-position model. The record is from RNAcentral.